UUCACUUCUGUAGGAAGGUUUGAAGAGUCCUACUUCUGUUUCAACGCAGAAUAAAAACCAGUAUUAAGACCAUAAAAACUGCGCCCAAACAGAAUGGUUUACUUCUGACAAGUGGGAAAUAACAUUCUAGACGCAGACCCUGUGUACCACAAAUGGAUGUAGCCAAGCCUGCUGUGAGGAUUAGAGCACCAUGAGCUACCUGCCUAUGUCAGAAAAGAUGAGAUGAAGCCCCCUUGAAAUCUGAAAGGUGACAUGUAUUUUGCCACAAAACUCUCUCAUCCAAAUAAGACAAGGAAUUAUUUUCUUUUCCAAGCCUGGUCUGAAGCAAGGAAGUGCUCUCCUGAAAGCCUAUGGUCUUCUGUCACUCUUCAUUCAUAUACUUGUUUCUGUCUUGUUUCCCUUACUUCUUAACUUCUGGAAGCCCAAUCUUC
RNAcentral lists this long non-coding RNA (431 nucleotides) under Columba livia (rock pigeon). RNAcentral describes it as "partial uncharacterized LOC102098848, transcript variant X1". Lineage: Eukaryota; Metazoa; Chordata; Aves; Columbiformes; Columbidae. The record is from RNAcentral.